UGGUGCAGGCUGUGAAGACCCCGUGAGGCCACAUUUGCUCAGUCGCUGCCAGAUUCUAGCAGCCAAGUGCUCAGCGAAGCUGGCUGUGUCUCCCAGGCAUCUCUGCUCGAUAAUACUCGGGUUUACCUACGCACGCGCUAAAGACUUGACCCGUAAGUCUCUUGAAGUGCAGGUGAUUCUGAAGGCUCCCGGGGCCAGAGUGCCUGUGCAGGUUAUGUUUCUACCAUGUGUUCAAGCACCUUCUCCUUCCACCAGCAAGCUUUUCCCGGGAACGGGCUGAGCAUCGGGUACAGGUGAGAAGUGUGUUUCAGCAAGGCAAGGGAGUCUGGAGAGAAAUGCGAGCCUACGCCUGGGUCCGAAGGAAGUCCGGGAGGGGCUGCCAAGGCGAUGGCGGAACAUUUGAGAGCCGAGAACGCACUUGCAGCACGCUUUGGGACACCGGCUCUCAGACAGACGCCUGCUGAGAGACCGCACUGCAAGGGGUCUCUCCGCCCCGGAGUCUGACAGUGCCUGCUUGGCGGACCCUGAGCUUCCUGUGGGGGACGUGCACCCGGUGGUCCUUCCUGUCUGGCUUCUCCCGCCACUCGAAGAGCAGCAUUAAAGAAGCCCGCCUUGCUGGUGCAGACUUCUGCAUCCCGUGGUGCUCAGUUCCAGAUGUGCUACACCACUUUCUCUUCGUGCUGGAGGGACGUGGGGUGCUCCCGGCUGGGGAAAGGAUGGGGACGACUUUGUGAGCUUUAUUUUUCAAUAUAGGGGAUGGGACCCAAGGCCUUCACACACAUCCUAAUCUUUUAAAAGUUUUUAUUUUGAGGCAAGGCCUAAGUCACCCCAUUGCCCAGGGUGGGCUCCAACUUGGUAUUCUCCUGUCUCACCCUCCCUGAGUGCCAUGAUCACAGGUGUGCACCACCACAAGGCUUGGAAUUGCUUUUUGCUUGAGGUGAGAAGAAUCUCUGGGUCCGCAGCUGUCCCUGUGGCUGUCAGAUGUGCGCUGCUACGGGCACCGCAGGCUGUGGAGUAAGAGAGUCCAUGAGCGUGUGACCUGGCUCUGCCUGGGCCGCUCUGCUACCCGGUCCCCAUCACCGCCCUUGGCCCGAGUUCCUGCACCCAGGGGUCUGACCGCACUUGCUGCUCAGUUUGUGGUGGCCACUUGCUGCCCUGCGCACUUGUGCAGAAAAGCGAGUCGGUGUCCGCUGCACACGAGUCCCCAAGUUUCACAGAGGACCAUUCGUCUACAGCACGUGAUUAGCGAGCAGCGAGGCUGGGGGCGAGGACCCCGGAGGCUUGCAGCGCUGUGGCCACGCUGGGCUGCUCUCCCACUCAGCCCAGGGCCCCUUCACGCGGGGGGCGGGGUGACGCAGGGUGGCCACGGGCGGUGGUCGAGUACCCUCGAAUGGAGCAGUGAGCUCAUGGCCUGGAGAUGGCAGCCGAGGAGGUGAGCUCUGUGACGUGAGCAGCCCUGAGGGCUGAGCGCUCCGCAGGGUCAGGGCCUCACGCAGGGCGCAGGGCACAGGGCGCAGGGCGCAGGGAGCUGUGUGUGACCCAGGAAGCCUCAGGCACAUCGGCCACACCUGCUGAGAGCCGCCCAGGACCUGAGAAGAGUGUGGAUCACAGCAGCCAGGGUGAGAUGGUGCUGCCAGGUGAGGGGCUCACACUCGAUGUCCAUGCCCUCUGUGGACUUCUCUGCUGGAGCUUUGGUCCUUGGGGUGCAGGUGGGGCGUGGAGACAGUGUGUUCCCCUGCAGCUCCUCCCCUGCUCGGCAGAGCCCGGGCCCUCCAUGGUCCCUGCACUGCUCACCCUUCGGAGCCCUCAGGGCUUAAUGGACCCCAUGUCCCCUUCUCCCACGUUGCGGACUCAGGACACUGCCACCCUGGGUUGGCUGACGGCUGGAGACCAAGUCCCUGGUGGAGGGCACAGCUGCAUAGGCCCCCUUGCACCCAGAAGGACCGACCAGCCCGGCCGCCUGAGGCUCCCGUCAUCCGCAGGAACCUGAGCCUCACCCAGGGCCCAGGCCACCUCCUCGGUGCCUGGGCACAGCGGCCUUCUGUGAAGCACACGUGGCCCUGUCCUCCGGGCUUUACCACAGCCACAUCUCUGUUGUGGAUGGAGGGGAGAGUCCACGUGGCCAUCUGCAGCUGGACACUGAGGACACUGCAGCUGCCCAGCCACGAAGCCGCAACCACAGAAUGAGAGAUGAGGCCCAGAGCCCCCUGGAGAGUCGCCGCUCCGAGGCCACCCGGAAGGCUGAGGAUGCUGGGGUCUGAAGGCCACGGGCAAUGGCGGCUGCAGUGACAAAUCUGUAAGUGGCAGGCGGUUCCCAAACAUGUGACUUCCUCCUCCUUCCCUUUCAGUCCACCUGGGCCACGAGCCCUCUGGACUCGCACACCCACAAGCACUGCGGGGCUUCCAGCCCGUUGUCUCUGACAGUGCCCACAGACAGGCCCGUGGUGCGCUUUGCCAGCCCACAGUCAUUUAUUUCUCCACUCUGUCAGGUGACGAACCCCACGUGGCCUGCAGCGGCCCGGUGAGGGAGGUGGCUGGGUCUGUGUCCAUCCUCGGCUCAUCACUAGGCGGAGGGGGAGGCCCGACCCAGGCAGGGUGCCAGGCUCCUGGCUCUGCCUGUCCCCACCCCAGGCCCCACUGAGAGACCUACCUCCAGCCCAGGGUUCUUGUCUUCAGCAGCUAACACGGCCUAGGCUGGCUGUCCAUGGCCCAGAGGUUGAAAGUGGUUUUCACGCCUUUAAACGUGAAAAGAAAAAGCAGGAAACAAUGUAUGCAGAGAUCAUGCAAUUUGCUCUUCAUUGUUUUUAAAUGAAUUGAUCGCUUCAUGUUUUCCCCCGGUUUUAAUGUAGUAGCAGAAAGUAGCUAAGCCCACCCACCAGAGCUCUGCUGGGCUUUGGGGGCUGUGGUUCCUGCGGGGAGUCCUGGGCCGGCGGCCUCCCACCCUCCACCCACAGCGCCCUCACCCGUGGAUCACGGUGCACGGUUCCUCCACGAGUGCUCAGCGUCUUGGUCAGGAGCCUGGGCUCUGGCCCUGUGGCCCACCCUGUGCUCCUCUGGGCCCCGCUGUGCCCUGAGGGGUGGGCGGGGCUGAUGGCUGCUGCCCCAGUCCCGAGCUCUCCCACCCCCAGCGAAGAAAAAGCAGGCAUUGUCUGCAUCUCUAUUUACAGGAUUGGGGCUUAUUGUCACUCACCACUGGCAAACGUGUCAUUAAAUUUCUCUUAAUCCCUGUGUGCCGCCCUUGGGACUGCGGGCCGGAGGGUGUCCCUGUCCGGCUUUGCCUCGUUGUCCACCGACCUGCAAGCCAUGAACCACACACGCAGAGUCCUGGCUCCUGGGCAUCAUUUCUGACUCCCUGCACCCAGUCACUGACCCCUGGUGGAGCACAGGGGACACGCAGGGCCUCAGGGGGCCUGGAAGCCCGUGCCUAUGGCAUCAGAGCCCCGCCGCCUGCCCCUUGUCCCUGCCCCUUGUCCCUGCUGAGAUGGCGCUGGCUGCUGGGGUUUGUGGACACCUUCUGUCAUCACACACGCACUUGUGUGGUGGCUGCACAGUCACAGCGUCUGUGAGCCUCGGACAGUUAUCUUUGAUGCCGGCUCCAGCUUUGUCCCCUGUGUGUGCUGGGCUCAACGUGAGAAACAGUUCUUGUCCCGGCCGAGUGACUCUGACUGUCAUGCUCUGAGCUGUCUCUGCGGUCCUGUGUGUGACUCCCUGACUGCGAGCUGGCAGGGUGAGGGUGGUGAGCCUGCCAGGGGGCCCUCUGCCCCAGAGCCUGGUCCUGGGCAAGCCCUCUGCCAGGGGCCUCGCAGCUUCAGUCAGGGACCGUGAGCGCCGGCAGCAGUGGGUGCUGAGCCUGCCCGGCAGGAGGACCAUGCCCAGGGCUUCCACCGAGACAUCCUCACCUCUUUUCCUGCCCACCUGCUCCCCUCCACCUGGCUCGGAGCACUGGCUCAGUGUCCUUGUCCCAGGUCUGCCUUCGGACCAGGCUGCCUCCAAUCCACAACCAUCUCAUUCCCACCAGCCGUGUCCAACCUGCGGCCCACGGCCACUUCUUUUUAAUGUUAUAAAAAAUAAAAAUUUUGUUACUUAUAUACAUGGACUUUAUUAUACAUUCCUUCUGUGGUCAACUUGUAAGCCCAGCUGAACUGAAUCAGCGUGGUCUGGGUGUGGAGGACCCACCUGAGGAUUGUUGCCAAUAGCCAUAAAGAGAACUGGAGGGGAAGUUCGUGGGCUGUUGAUUUUCUAUAAGAAGCUUCCUGUGGAUGGUUUUCCUGAUGCGAACUUGGCUGUUCUUGUCCUCGUCGGAGCUCGGGGCCUCGCUGUUGCUGGGAAUGGCUGCUGUUCUAGUCAGGGGAGCUCCAAUCUUCACUGUGAACAUUGCUUCCUGGGCUCCAGUGUAGAUCCCUCAGCCUGGUGGCACAAAUCCUUCACCCCACCGGCACCGGCUUCCUGGCUUCCACCACUGGCCUUUGGGCCUUCCAGGUGCAGAUCCUCCAUACAGACAAGCAUGAGACAUUGCUGUGGGCUCCAGGCCACUGGCUGGGGUCAUGGAUGACAUUGCCUUGGACUCUAGGCCUUCAGCUGGACUUGUGUGGGACACUGCUGUGGGACCCAGGCCCUCGGAUGGAUUCUUUGGGUCUAGUGCGUGGCUAGAUCUCUUACACUUCUCUGCAUUUGACUUUUUUGGGUGACUAUUGUAAAAUAAUCCUAUAAAUUAUGUUCCCUGUAGUAAAUCUAUUUUCCUUGCUGAGACCUCGACUACAGUGCCCCCCAUUCAGUGUGGUCCAGACAAGCAGGAAAUUUUCACACCCACGCCAAGAGUGCCCACACACCAGGGUCCCAGGUUCACACACGCCAAGUGUGCCCACACACCAGGGUCCCGGGUUCACACACCCACGCCAAGUGUGUCCACACACCAGGGUCCCGGGUUCACACACCCACACCAAAUGUGCCCACACACCAGGGUCCCAUAACAAUCUAGGAUGUGCCCAUCA
Non-coding RNA from Heterocephalus glaber (naked mole-rat), 4991 nucleotides. NCBI's taxonomy places the organism in Eukaryota, Metazoa, Chordata, Mammalia, Rodentia, Bathyergidae. The record is from RefSeq and is a predicted model, not a curated record.